Molecule: ribosomal RNA, 2427 nt
Filed under: Triticum aestivum (bread wheat)
Lineage: Eukaryota; Viridiplantae; Streptophyta; Magnoliopsida; Poales; Poaceae
Description: partial small subunit ribosomal RNA
Source: RNAcentral
AUGUCAGCUUCAGAGUUCAGGAUUCCUUACCAGCCAGUAUCAUCUUCGCAGCCUUCGGAGAAUGCAGGUCAGUUCAAGAUAUGCCGAUGUGGAGAGGGAGACCCGAACUCCCAGACUGGUGAAACCGGUGAUAGUCCACAAACUUCAUGUCCUAACUGCCAGGUUCUCAAGAGUGGACAUCUACUGCUUUCAUCUAAAGGGAUUGGUUGGACAACAUGGAAAAAGCGCUGGUUUGUUCUUACAAGGGCAUCAUUAGUGUUCUUCAGAAGUGACCCUAAUGCACCUCCCAGAGGAAAUGAACCAGUUGUUACACUUGGUGGAAUCGACUUGAAUAACUCCGGAAGUGUUGUAGUCAAAGAAGACAGGAAACUUUUAACAGUGUUAUUUCCUGAUGGCCGCGAAGGGCGUACUUUUACUCUGAAGGCAGAAACUACAGAAGAACUCAACGAGUGGAGAAAUGCAUUAGAGAGUGCUUUAGCGCAGGCACCAAUUGUAGCGAGUACAGUGGGGCAAAAUUCAAUAUUUAACGCUGAUGGAACAGAAUCUUCUGAAGCUUCAACUGAACAGUCGGAGGAUAAAUCAUCUGUUAUUGGGAGACCUGCACAGUUUGCACUUGUAGAGGCUGAUGGUAGUCCAGCUUUCCUGGAGAAGGCCUUGAGGUUCAUUGAAGAUUAUGGUUGCAAGGGAGAAGGAAUCCUCCGUCAAUCUGCUGAUGUUGAAGAAGUCAAACGCAGAUUUCGUGAUUAUGAAAAGGGAAAGAAAGAGUUCUCCCCAGAUGAGGAUGGGCAUGUUAUUGGUGACUGUAUUAAGACUAUUCUUCGAGAGAUGCCAGCUUCGCCAGUUCCUGCAGCAUGUUGCACCGCGCUGGUUACAGCUUACCGAACUGACAAGACAAAAAGACUUGAUGCUUUAAAUAAAGUUAUAUAUGAAGUUUUCCCGGAACCAAAUCGGCAAUUAUUGCAGAGGAUCCUUAAGAUGAUGAUGAUCGUUGGAUCACACAAAGCUGUGAACAGGAUGUCUAGUUCCGCUUUGGCGGCUUGUAUGGCACCACUCCUUCUUCGUCCUCUUCUUCUUGGUGAAUGUGAAAUUGAUAAAGACUUCAGUAUGGCUGGGGAUGGUUCAUUCCAGCUGCUUCAAGCUGCCGCUGCAGCCAACCAUGCUCAAGCUAUUGUUAUCAUCAUGCUUGAGGAAUAUGAUCAGAUAUUUGAUGACAUAGAAGAAGGUUCUUCGGACGCUUAUACUGAGUCUGACGACGGUGAUGUUGACAAGGAAUAUUCCACGGAUAAUGACAACCAUGAUGAGGAUGGUUCUUAUGAUUCUGGUGAAGAUGACAUUGAAGAAGACUUGGAUGAUAAUACCGAACACUCUUCUGGCGGCAGUGAAUGUGAUGGCAAUAGUAGAAUCAAUGCCAAACGUGACAAGAUGAAAGUGGGAAAAACAGAACGUGGUUUGUCAAGGGAGGACAAAGGAUCCACAGAUCAUAUAGCAAAAUCCCAUUCAUCAUCUUCGAAAGCAAAAUUUACGAAGUCAAGCAGCUCAGCUAAUAGGGGCAAAAAGACAUUAUGGGGCCGUACUUCAGCAAGAAAGGACCUGGACGUUGAGGGCUGCAGUGAUGAUGAGGCUCUUAUUGAGAAGCUUGAGAACAACAAGGCCGAUCUCCAAUCUAAAGUUUCAAAGGAGGUCAAAGAAAAUAAAAACCUCCAGACAAGUCUAGAAAAGCGGAAAGGAACAUUACAUGAACGCCGUUUAGCACUUGAAAAAGAAGUGGAAACUUUGCGAGAUCAGCUGCAUAAGGAGAGAAGUUUGAGGGCCUCAUUGGAGUCUGGGCUGAUGAAUAUGCGAAGAGGGCAGGUGUCCCUCCCGUCGUCAAUAGACAGCAAGACUAAGGCUAAUCUUCAGGAAGUUGCUGCUGCUGAAGCUGAUGUUGUGAAUUUGAAGCAAAAGGCUUGUGAUCUACGCGGACAACUCAGCAGCCAGGCCCAGCUGAGCUCCAUCCCACUAUGUGAAUCAUGCAACAAACGGCUCCAAGACAAGCUUGCCGAAGAGAAACAAAAUGAAAUCAGCUCAUCAACCGAAGCAUCAUCAGCUAUUGGGACCAAUCCUUUAUCUCGAAUGUUACCCAAUGCAGGCAUGGCGGAUAUUGUUGAACAAUUGAGAAGGCAAGCCGCACAGAAUUCGUCUUCUUCAACAGGUGCUCAAAGAUUGUUGAGGCAAAACUCAAAUAGCCUACACAGGCUUCAAGGACUGAAUGCCUUUUCAAGUAAUAGAACAGAGGAACCUGGGGGUGGACCACCAACUGCAUUAGCUAAGCUGACAAACCGGCUCAACUUCUUGAAAGAAAGAAGGGCAAUGCUCGCAAGUGAGAUGCAAAACUUAGAUUUGGCUCGCCCACCAACGGGUCCAGCUCCAAAUAAAGACUCAACAUGA